AUUGGAUAAGAAGUGCGCUGAAGAAUGAGGGAUAUGGGUUAGGUAGUACUUCACUUCAGACUCUUUUGGAGGCAAUGGAGGAGCUCGAGUCAGACGAUGAUGAUGCAACAUCGCACAUUGUCUAACUGACUGACUAUCAAUUUAAGGAACAAUUGGAAAUAUGAUGGUUGGAACUUCUUUUUGGUAUAUAUAUAUUAUA
Long non-coding RNA from Papaver somniferum (opium poppy), 199 nucleotides. RefSeq lists it as uncharacterized. The transcript has 3 exons. Lineage: Eukaryota; Viridiplantae; Streptophyta; Magnoliopsida; Ranunculales; Papaveraceae. The record is from RefSeq and is a predicted model, not a curated record.